This 71-nucleotide transfer RNA is filed under the name Loxodonta africana (African savanna elephant). It matches the Rfam family "tRNA". Rfam says of the family: Transfer RNA (tRNA) molecules are approximately 80 nucleotides in length. Their secondary structure includes four short double-helical elements and three loops (D, anti-codon, and T loops). The record is from Rfam by way of RNAcentral. Lineage: Eukaryota; Metazoa; Chordata; Mammalia; Proboscidea; Elephantidae.
GCAGUGGUGGUUUGGUGGUAGAAUUCUUGCCUUCUAUGCGGGAGACCCGGGUUCAGUUCCCAGCCGUUGCA